UACGUAGGGUGCAAGCGUUGUCCGGAAUUAUUGGGCGUAAAGAGCUCGUAGGCGGUUUGUCGCGUCUGCUGUGAAAACCCGAGGCUCAACCUCGGGCCUGCAGUGGGUACGGGUAGACUAGAGUGCGGUAGGGGAGAAUGGAAUUCCUGGUGUAGCGGUGAAAUGCGCAGAUAUCAGGAGGAACACCGGUGGCGAAGGCGGGUCUCUGGGCAACAACUGACGCUGAGGAGCGAAAGCGUGGGGAGCGAACAGG
This 253-nucleotide ribosomal RNA is filed under the name uncultured bacterium. Its description in RNAcentral is "partial 16S ribosomal RNA". It matches the Rfam family "Bacterial small subunit ribosomal RNA", at positions 524 to 776 of the family's 1533-position model. The record is from RNAcentral.